GAUGAACGCUGGCGGCGUGCCUAAUACAUGCAAGUCGAGCGAAGAGGGGACGGGUGAGUAAUACGUGGAUAAACUCAUAUAAGACUGGGAUAACUUAGGGGAACCGGAGCUAAAUCGGAUACUUAUAGAUGGUACAGCGUUGAAUUAGCUAGUUGGUAAGGUAACGGCUUACAAAGGAUACGAUGCAUAGCAGACCAGAGAGGGUGAGCAGUCACACUGGAACGGAGACACGGUCCAGACUCCUACGGGAGGCAGAAGUGGGGAAUCUUCCACAAUGGGCGAAAGCCUGACGGAGCAACGCCGCGUGGGUGAAGAAGGUCUUCGGAUCGUAAAGCUCUGUUAUUCGGGAAGCGUUACCUAAUCAGAAAGCACCGGCUAACUACGUGCCAGCAGCCGCGGUAAUUC
Molecule: ribosomal RNA, 405 nt
Filed under: uncultured bacterium
Lineage: Bacteria
Description: partial 16S ribosomal RNA
Rfam family: Bacterial small subunit ribosomal RNA
Source: RNAcentral